ACCACUUAUGGGCUUUUUUGUUGAAAAUCAAGUGCAGUGUGAGUUCUUAAUCAGUUUAAUAGCUGACACGUCUUCUGUCUGAGGACAAUAUAUUGAAUGUAUUUUUGGAUCAGGGAGAUGGAAUAGGAGCUUGCUCAGUCCACUCUGAACAUCCACCUAGGUAUCGCAGUACUUCUGGGAACAGUGUACCAAAA
This is a small nuclear RNA of Molossus molossus (Pallas's mastiff bat), 194 nucleotides long. RefSeq annotates it as U2 spliceosomal RNA. NCBI's taxonomy places the organism in Eukaryota, Metazoa, Chordata, Mammalia, Chiroptera, Molossidae. The record is from RefSeq and is a predicted model, not a curated record. The transcript has a single exon.